GGUACAAAUCCGGAAGCGGCUUCCGCGCGGGAGAGCGGCGGCUGCUCCAGCAUCCAGAGCAAGGAAGGAGCCGGAGCGGCGUCAGUGGCGCGUGUCCCACCGGGCCUCCGAGAGCGCGGCGCCACAGAUGAAGGGAAGGUUUCCAGGAAGCAUCUAAGAAUACAUCAGGGUCCUCUGCAAUCUACUCUACUCUAGCAGGAGUAGGAUUAGCAUUCAUCCUCUGUUUUGUCUGAGUCUUGCAGUGGCAGAAAAAACUGCUACAGGGAGUUCUGCCACAGUUGCUUAAGAGAGAUAAAAAGUGGGAGGCAAAUCCAAGUUUGAAGAAUGGCUAGCCAACAAUUCCAAAGGUGAUAAGAAGCAGGAAGCCUGUCUUAAGGCAUUCCUGCUGUCUCUUGGCAAGCAAAGAAUCCUAGCUCCAGUUAUAAAUGGGCAGCCCCCUGUGGUGUAACCUCUUAUGCCUGCAGUGAGGGUCCUACAGCCUGUUUAUUGAUUUGUUUUGUCCCUAUGUAGGCUGUCCUUGUCCUGUUAAGGCAACUUGACCUCACCUAUAAUAGCUGGUGAUAGUCUCAGAUCAAAUUUUUUUUUUAAUUAAAUGCAGAUGAUACCAGACUGUCAAAAAGAUCUCUAGCCAGGGCUUCUAACAACAUUGGAUGUGCUGCUGCUCCUGUGGGACUGGUUUCAGCAAGAGAAUGUAUGAAAUUAUGGCAAUUCCUCUGUAAUUAAAGGAGGAGGGCUGGGUGUGAGACUUUAGCCUGGAAGACCAUGGAACCACAAACAAGUUGCAGCAGGGAACCCCCCCCCCAGGCAAGCGGAAAAGAGGCUGUCCUUUCAUACCCAAUGGUUAAUGUGUGUCUUUCUUGAGUCUGAAAGGAAUAAAUCUUGUUCCACCAAUGUUUUUUCCUGCCUAGCAAGCACAUUCAGUAUGUGAUGUCAUGAGCCCUUAAUGUGCACACUUAAGUUUUGCAAAGUAGCUGUCAGAACUAACUGCCUAAAGAGACUGGGUUACCCUUGUUGUCAUUUAAUUACUCAACAGCUGGCCUUUCAUAUUGUUGUGGGCUGGGAUUUGGGUGCCUGAUCCCCAUGGGCUCUUUGGAAAAUCCCAGCAGAGAGCUUGUCAGAUACAAUUUAAACAGGAUCACAUCAGUCAGUCCUGGGAGCUGAGAUAUCCAUAAACUAUAUGAUAUAUCUCAUAGAGUGAUCACACAGGGCUUUAUUCUCUUUUAUAGAUAGUCAACGGGAGAGCAUCAACUUACAGAUGCCGAAAAUGGCCUCCUUAAAACAGAACCCCAUUAAACAUUUAUAAUAUAGACUUAUAGAGAGAGGACCCCCCCCCCCC
Molecule: non-coding RNA, 1336 nt
Organism: Chrysemys picta bellii (western painted turtle)
Lineage: Eukaryota; Metazoa; Chordata; Testudines; Emydidae
Source: RefSeq, a predicted model, not a curated record